This 380-nucleotide non-coding RNA is filed under the name Beta vulgaris subsp. vulgaris (sugar beet). RNAcentral describes it as "Bacterial large subunit ribosomal RNA". It matches the Rfam family "Bacterial large subunit ribosomal RNA", at positions 2534 to 2925 of the family's 2925-position model. The record is from Rfam by way of RNAcentral. Lineage: Eukaryota; Viridiplantae; Streptophyta; Magnoliopsida; Caryophyllales; Amaranthaceae.
GGCUCAUCUCAUCCUGGGGCUGGAGCAGGUCCCAAGGGUAUGGCUGUUCGCCAUUUAAAGAGGUACGUGAGCUGGGUUCAGAACGUCGCGAGACAGUUCGGUCCCUAUCUGCCGUAGGUGUAGGAGAAUUGAGAGGAUCUGACUCUAGUACGAGAGGACCGAGUUGGACGCACCUCUGGUGGACCUGUUGUCGCGCCAGCGGCACAGCAGGGUAGCUAUGUGCGGACGGGAUAACCGCUGAAGGCAUCUAAGCGGGAAACCCACCUCGAAACAAGUUCUCCCUUGAGAGCCGUGGAAGACCACCACGUUGAUAGGCCGGGUGUGGAAGUGCAGCAAUGCAUGCAGCUUACCGGUACUAAUAGCUCGAUUGGCUUGAUUCG